This 254-nucleotide ribosomal RNA is filed under the name uncultured bacterium. RNAcentral describes it as "partial 16S ribosomal RNA". It matches the Rfam family "Bacterial small subunit ribosomal RNA", at positions 524 to 776 of the family's 1533-position model. The record is from RNAcentral.
UACGGAGGGGGCGAGCGUUGUUCGGAAUCAUUGGGCGUAAAGGGCGCGUAGGCGGCCUGAUCAAGUCGGAUGUGAAAUCCCUCGGCUCAACCGAGGAACUGCACCCGAUACUGGUUGGCUAGAGUCCGGGAGGGGGUAGCGGAAUUCCCAGUGUAGCGGUGAAAUGCGUAGAUAUUGGGAAGAACACCGGUGGCGAAGGCGGCUACCUGGACCGGUACUGACGCUGAGGCGCGAAAGCCAGGGGAGCGAAUGGG